This 449-nucleotide ribosomal RNA is filed under the name uncultured bacterium. RNAcentral's name for it is "partial 16S ribosomal RNA". It matches the Rfam family "Bacterial small subunit ribosomal RNA", at positions 328 to 792 of the family's 1533-position model. The record is from RNAcentral.
UGGCCAGACUCCUACGGGAGGCAGCAGUGGGGAAUAUUGGGCAAUGGGCGCAAGCCUGACCCAGCAACGCCGCGUGAAGGAAGAAGGCUUUCGGGUUGUAAACUUCUUUUGACAGGGAAGAGUAGAAGACGGUACCUGUCGAAUAAGCCACGGCUAACUACGUGCCAGCAGCCGCGGUAAUACGGAGGUGGCAAGCGUUAUCCGGAUUUACUGGGUGUAAAGGGCGAGUAGGCGGGAUUGCAAGUCAGAUGUGAAAACUAUGGGCUCAACCGAUAGAGUGCAUUUGAAACUGCAGUUCUUGAGUGAUGGAGAGGCAGGCGGAAUUCCCGGUGUAGCGGUGGAAUGCGUAGAUAUCGGGAGGAACACCAGUGGCGAAGGCGGCCUGCUGGACAUUAACUGACGCUGAGGCGCGAAAGCGUGGGGAGCAAACAGGAUUAGAUACCCCUGUA